This 627-nucleotide ribosomal RNA is filed under the name Triticum aestivum (bread wheat). RNAcentral describes it as "partial small subunit ribosomal RNA". The record is from RNAcentral. Lineage: Eukaryota; Viridiplantae; Streptophyta; Magnoliopsida; Poales; Poaceae.
AUGCCUGGUUUUACAGCUUAUGUUGGAUUCUAUGAGAUCUGCUCACCGAAGAAAGGAGAGUUUGUCUUUGUUUCUGCUGCAUCAGGAGCAGUUGGUCAGAUUGUUGGUCAACUUGCAAAGCUCCAUGGCUGCUAUGUUGUCGGAAGUGCCGGAACAAAUCAGAAAGUUGAACUCCUAAAAGAUAAGUUUGGAUUCGAUGAAGCUUUUAAUUACAAAGAGGAGCCUGACUUGACUGCAGCCCUAAAAAGGUACUUUCCUGAAGGUAUUGACAUCUACUUCGAGAAUGUAGGCGGACCAAUGCUAGAUGCUGUACUCCUUAACAUGCGGAUGCAUGGUCGCAUAGCAGUAUGUGGGAUGGUCUCCCAGCACGGCAUGACUGAUCCUUCAGGGAUCCACAACCUCUUCUGUCUGGUGCCGAAACGGAUCAGUAUGAAGGGCUUCAUCCAGAGUGAUUACAUCAAGUUAUUCCCACAGUUCGUCGAUUACAUGACCAAGCAUUACAAGGAUGGCAAGAUUGAAUAUGUAGAAGACAUGAGCAUCAGGCUAGAGAAUGCGCCAGCUGCCUUUGUUGGUCUAUUCAGUGGUAAAAAUGUUGGCAAACAAGUCGUGUGCGUGUCACAAGAGUGA